This 173-nucleotide ribosomal RNA is filed under the name uncultured bacterium. RNAcentral describes it as "partial 16S ribosomal RNA". It matches the Rfam family "Bacterial small subunit ribosomal RNA", at positions 1320 to 1500 of the family's 1533-position model. The record is from RNAcentral.
AUGAAGCUGGAUUCGCUAGUAAUCGCGCAUCAGCCACGGCGCGGUGAAUACGCUCCCGGGCCUUGUACACACCGCCCGUCAAGCCAUGGAAGCCGGGGGUGCCUGAAGUGCGCUGCCGCAAGGAGCGCCCUAGGGUAAAACCGGUGACUGGGGCUAAGUCGUAACAAGGUAAC